GCCGGAGUGUUGGAAUGGCAGACAACUCGGACUUAAAAUCCGAUGUUCCGUAAGGAACGUGUGGGUUCGAGUCCCACCUCCGGCA
This 85-nucleotide transfer RNA is filed under the name Candidatus Omnitrophota bacterium. Its description in RNAcentral is "tRNA-Leu". It matches the Rfam family "tRNA". From Rfam's summary of the family: Transfer RNA (tRNA) molecules are approximately 80 nucleotides in length. The record is from RNAcentral. Lineage: Bacteria; Pseudomonadati; Candidatus Omnitrophota.